GGACAACCCACUGUCCUGAACACUUCUUCAUAGACUGGUCACACCCUGUGUAGGAGUCAGCCUCACACAGGUCACAGCACAGACAUGAGGUCAGUCAUUCAUCUUGUGGGGUUGCUGCUGCUCUACCUUACAGGUGCCAGAUGUGACAUUCAGAUGACGCAGUCUCCAGGAUCCCUGUUGGUGUCUCUGGGAGACACUGUCACCAUGACAUGUCAGGCCAGUCAAAACAUUUACGGUUGGUUGGCAUGGUAUCAGCAGAAACCAGGGAAAUCUCCCAAGCUCCUGAUCUAUAGUGCAAGCAGCUUGGCAAAUGGUGUCCCAUCGAGGUUCAGUGGCAGUGGAUCUGGCACACAGUAUUCUCUUAAGAUCAGCGGGCUGCAGCCUGAAGAUGUUGCAGUUUAUUACUGUCAACAGCAUAGCAAUACUCCUCCCACAGUGAUAUAA
Molecule: non-coding RNA, 444 nt
Organism: Alexandromys fortis (reed vole)
Lineage: Eukaryota; Metazoa; Chordata; Mammalia; Rodentia; Cricetidae
Source: the annotation of a RefSeq genome assembly